This 433-nucleotide ribosomal RNA is filed under the name uncultured bacterium. RNAcentral's name for it is "partial 16S ribosomal RNA". It matches the Rfam family "Bacterial small subunit ribosomal RNA", at positions 29 to 507 of the family's 1533-position model. The record is from RNAcentral.
AACGAGCGCUGGCGGCAUGCCUAACACAUGCAAGUCGAACGAGACCUUCGGGUCUAGUUGCGCACGGGUGCGUAACGCGUGGGAACCUGCCCUUAGGUUCGGAAUAACUCCCCGAAAGGGGUGCUAAUACCGGAUAAUGUCUUCGGACCAAAGAUUUAUCGCCUUUGGAUGGGCCCGCGUUGGAUUAGCUAGUUGGUAGGGUAAAAGCCUACCAAGGCGACGAUCCAUAGCUGGUCUGAGAGGAUGAUCAGCCACACUGGGACUGAGACACGGCCCAGACUCCUACGGGAGGCAGCAGUGGGGAAUAUUGGACAAUGGGCGAAAGCCUGAUCCAGCAAUGCCGCGUGAGUGAUGAAGGCCUUAGGGUUGUAAAGCUCUUUUACCCGGGAUGAUAAUGACAGUACCGGGAGAAUAAGCUCCGGCUAACUCCGUG